Molecule: long non-coding RNA, 495 nt
Organism: Fukomys damarensis (Damara mole-rat)
Lineage: Eukaryota; Metazoa; Chordata; Mammalia; Rodentia; Bathyergidae
Exons: 3
Source: RefSeq, a predicted model, not a curated record
CACCCAGAAGACCAAUUUCAUAGUUUCUAUUUCCCCCACAGUGUGGUCUGAGGCUUGUGGAUGAUAGCAGGACAACAGGAGAGUGAAUUCAAGAUUAGAAAACUGAUGCACAGAGAGGUGAAGUCAUUUCCCUAAGACUACACAGCUGGUAAACGACGCAGAUGAGAUAUAAAUCACGCAAGUGAGCCGAGUAUUUCAGUUAAUUUUCAGCACGACCAUGAGUGAGCCCAGGAAUCACUCCCAGCCUGGUGCCUGAGGCCCCCCGGGCAGUCGAAGGGAGCCCUGCACCAGGACAACCCCGGGGUCCCUGCCAGUCCCCUGCGGGCUCGCGCACCAGGAGCUCGUUCCCAGACGCACGGAUGCAGCAUUUGCGAAACAGAGCAUUCAGUUCGACCCCCGGCUGCCCAGCGGCACCUGUGAGGAUUGAACCCAGGGGGUGCUGAGCUACAUUUACAGCCCUUUUUACUUUACGUUGAGACUGGUCUAACCAAAUUG